CAGCACUAAGGGGCGGAAACCCCCUAACACUUAGCACUCAUCGUUUACGGCGUGGACUACCAGGGUAUCUAAUCCUGUUCGCUCCCCACGCUUUCGCUCCUCAGCGUCAGUUACAGACCAGAGAGUCGCCUUCGCCACUGGUGUUCCUCCACAUCUCUACGCAUUUCACCGCUACACGUGGAAUUCCACUCUCCUCUUCUGCACUCAAGUUCCCCAGUUUCCAAUGACCCUCCCCGGUUGAGCCGGGGGCUUUCACAUCAGACUUAAGAAACCGCCUGCGAGCCCUUUACGCCCAAUAAUUCCGGACAACGCUUGCCACCUACGUAUUACCGCGGCUGCUGGCACGUAGUUAGCCGUGGCUUUCUGGUUAGGUACCGUCAAGGUACSCCCUAUUYGAACGGUACUUGUUCUUYCCUAACAACAGAGCUUUACGAUCCGAAAACCUUCAUCACUCACGCGGCGUUGCUCCGUCAGACUUUCGUCCAUUGCGGAAGAUUCCCUACUGCUGCCUCCCGUAGAGGUCUGGGCCGUGUCUCAGUUCCCAGUGUGGCCGA
Molecule: ribosomal RNA, 554 nt
Filed under: Bacillus subtilis
Lineage: Bacteria; Bacillati; Bacillota; Bacilli; Caryophanales; Bacillaceae
Description: partial 16S ribosomal RNA
Source: RNAcentral